RNAcentral lists this long non-coding RNA (3680 nucleotides) under Homo sapiens (human). RNAcentral's name for it is "HSALNT0357615". The record is from RNAcentral. Lineage: Eukaryota; Metazoa; Chordata; Mammalia; Primates; Hominidae.
UGGGAAUAAUACUGUUGUAGUCUGUUUUCUGCUGCUAUAACAGAAUACCACAGACCGGGUAAUUUAUAAACAAUAGAAGUUUAUUUGGCUCAUGAUUCCGGAGGCUGGGAUAUCCAAGAGCAUGGUGCCAGCAUCUGGGAAGGGCCUUUGUGCUGUACCAUCCCAAGGUAGAGGGUGAAACAGCAAGCAAGUAUACACAGAGCAAGAGAGCAAGAGGGGGCUGAACGUGCUUUAAUAACAAGCCCACUCUCUUGAUAACUAAUUCAUUCCCAUGACAAUGACAUUGAGGGCAGGGUUCUCAUAAACUAAUCACCUCUUGCUAGGCCUCACUCCCAACACUGUUGCAUUGGGGUUCAAGUUUCCAACACAUGAAUUGUUGGGGAUACAUUCAAAGCAUAGCAAAUACCCGUCAUACAGGACUAUGGGAGGAGUAAAGAAGGCAGAUCUGUAAAGCAAGCAGCCUCUUCACACAACACCAAGCCUGGGUGUAGUAUGUGCCCAGUUAGGCAAAUUAGUCUUGAAAACCUAGGAGAUAUACCUUUGCUUUGUGCUGGGCACUUGGAACAGAUGGAAAGUCUGCCAGAUCCCCCUUUUUUGUAGGGAGCACACACUUUAUCUAAGGCCUUUUCAGCAUGUGACCUAGCCACCUGCCUGCUUGCAUGCACCCCAAAAGAUAGACAUGUGUGACCUACAGGCAACUUUGCUAUCUGAUUUCCCUGUGGGCAUGGCACACUUUGGUUGCAGAUAACUUGCCCUUGCUUAUUCCUUCUGAACUUUAACAGUAACCCUGAAAGGUAGACACUCUCAUUCUCCCUAUUUUACAAAUGAAGAAACUAAGGAUCAAGUUGGUGAAGGAUUCCCUGUGGGUCACUAGGAGCAGGGCCCUGGUGACACAGAUGGAGAAAGGCAAGGAUCUCCGUUGGCCCUAUGCUCUCCUGAAGUUCACAUGCUGAAGAGGACAUAGGCAGUGGGCAAGGAAACAAGGGACUGUCAAUGGUGACACUGCUGUGGGGCAGCUCAACGGGGACAGAGGCAGGGCUGGGGUGCAGAGGGCGGUCUGCCCGACCUGACCAGGGGAGCAGGGAUUUGUGGAAUUGAGACCUGAAGAGUGAAGAGGAGACAGCCAUAAGCAGAUGGGGUCGCUCCAGGCCAAGGUCCUGAGGGGGCCCAGGCUUGAUGGCACGGAAGCCUGGGUAGUUUGGAGAGGGGCUCGAGGAACCCUGGAAGGUAGCCAGAGGCACACCUCGCUGGACCUGCAGGCCCUGGAAAAGAGUCUGGAUUUGAUUCCAGUGGCAUGGAAAAGCCAUUGGAAAAUUUCCCUCCAGAGGAAAGGCAGCACCAAAUUUAUGAUUUAAAGCCCAAACUGGCUGGCAGGAGCUGCUAGAGGGUCUGUCUCCACAGAGGACCCUGUUGUAUGACCUGCACCAUCCAGCAGGGGUCUGGUCGCUGUAUCAGUGAUGACCAUGAACUAGGCCCUGAGGGGCCUGGAUAUCACACACACAAGCUCCUCAAUACUCCCGGAAACGGCUACCCAUGAACAGAGAGAGACAGCUAGGGGUAGAAAGCAGCGAGUGUGGCAUAGUCAAUGAAACACCAAUUGUCCCUCAAGUGCCACCCCUAAAACCUCUUGUGAGUGUUUGCUCCAGGCCCAUCUGGGUUGGAGGAGAAAGCAACUUCCCCUUGCAGGUUGAGGGCACGCACAGCUUCAGGCCAACCCUUUCUACCUCCACACCCGAUGGCUCCAUAUUGCUGGCGUGGAAUGUGUUGUAUUGACUCACACGGGAAGUGGGGCCCUUUCACCGUGGGCACAGAGUGGCUUGAUGGAGAUGGGUAGGCAGCAAGGACAGGGGUGCCAUCUUAGAGGAUUAUCCCUGUGUCCCCAUGGCUGCCCAUGGCAGGGCUCCCCUUGAAUCCUCACUUGGAAAAAGCCUCUUCCUGAACAGCAAAUGUUUAAAAUGGCCUUGUGACCCCACCGAGCCAGUCAUGGAGCCCUCAGAUGACCUGCCGCAAGACACUUGUCCCAAGCCAGCCACCUCAGUGGGCAGUCAGCAUUCUGGGGACCUUAUCAGAGGACAUGUCCUUCCUUGGCAUCAGGUGAUCCAGCCUCUGGGCAUAUGGGAACUGUGGGGGUUGCAUGUGGCAAGACUGAAGAUUUCCCUCAUCAGUGAUAAAGACAUUGAUAAAAGGCUUUGCCACCCUAGGCUUCAGGGUCAUAUCGCAGAGGGCAGGCAGAAUAGGCUCUGAAAAUGAUGAGAGGAGCCCAGGCCAGAUUGAGAAGAGAGCACCUUCUUGCCAUGCUCGCCCUGUUAGAAAGAAGCUGGAAGCUGACGUAUCUUCACCUCCCAUGCUGUGCUCUACACAUGGAGUAGUAUUUAGAAUAACGAUAAUGAGAAUCAUCUUCACGCUUUGAGUAUGUAUUAAGUGCUUAUUAUGUUAACCAUUUUUCAUAUAUUUUCUCAAUUAGUUCUCCCCUAAAUUUAGAAAUAUUUUGAGAUGACAAGGUUGGAGCUCAGAGAAAUUAAGUGACUUGUCUGAGGUCACACUCACACAGGCUAAGUCUGGACUAUAGCUCAGGUCUUCCUAACUCCAAAAACUAGGCUUGUAACACCUAAACUUAAUUCAGACUAAAGUUGUAAAGUUCCUAUUCCAGAGUGUGAAUUGAUUCAUUCUCAACAAGUCCUUUGGGCAUUGUUGUAACUCAUUAAGCUAAAAUCCCCUUGGGGAAUUUUUACACACAGUGCUGGAACUGGGUCAGCUUGUGUCCCCUUUGGAGUUGAAACCUGGGACCAGAGUGAGCCGAGUUAGGAAGCAGCUCCCCUUGCAGAGUGCUGAAUGCUGCCUCUUCUUGUUUUAUUUUUACUGUUUACAUGUACUAUAAAAGUAGUGCAGGCUUGUUUCAAGAAAUGCAAACAUCAUGGGAAAAUAUCAUCUGAAAGUGUAACAGUCUGUAUGUUAAUCAGCGUCCCAGCAGAAAACAGAUGGCACACUCAAAAUAGGGUCAUUUCAGAGGAGUUUAGUAAAGGCACUACUUGCAAAGGUGCAAGCAGGUCACAGGGUGGGGAAGUGGUCAUCCAAUGCAAAGGCAGGGUGCUCUAGGUAGAUGGCUCCCCUGGACAGAGCAACCAGCCUCCAUCAGCAGAAACCGGGAGUAACCUGGCUGCAGGGCUCCAGGGAAGAAACAUCCUGACCUCAGCUCUUCCUGUUGUCUCCAUAUUUUCUGGUGGUGCAGACAGCAGUGCCCGUGAGUGGUCCCAGGACAGAGGUCUGGGCUGAGACAGUAGGGUUUAGAUUCAGAGGGGCCAGAAGGUAUUCCUCACAUCCCUCAGAAUUUUACCUCAUAAAGUAACCUCUGUGGGUAGUGAUGUCUCUAAACACACUCCUAGGGACUGAGUCCAAAGGUCACUUGCCCAUCUGGAUUGUUCUCCCCACGGAAGCCCCUGCAGUUGGCUGCCCUCUAGUAUGGCAAGGAAUUGAGAGAGUAGAACACAGUCUUUGUUGCAUACACAGAGAAUACCAUGAAUCCAAUGAGAGUAAUGGAAACGUGAAAGAGGGGCAGGGAGGUGGCAGCACAGAGGCUGGGUCCCCAGAGAUGGGCUGAGAAGCGGAGAGGAAGAUAAGCCAGCAUCCCCACCCAGGCUGCAGGGCUGGGUCCCCACAUGCUGCUUCUGGAAACGCUCACC